UGUCCUCUUUGUUUCAAAGUUAAACUAUGAGUAAGUUCCUCUCAAAGUUAGUUUGGCCUACACCCAAGAAUGAACAAGGACAGGUUAGACUCUAAUCUAGAAAUCUAGAAGCAAGAUGGAGUUGGUUAGGGCAGAUUUUUUUUUUUUUUUGAGACAUAGUUUCGCUCUGUCAUCCAGGCUGGAGUGCAGCGGCGCGAACUCUGGCUCACUGCAAGCCCCGCCUCCCAGGUUCGCGCCAUUUUCCUGCCUCAGCCUCCUGAGUAGCUGGGUCUACAGGCGCCCGCCAUCACGCCCGGCUAAUUUUUUGUGCUUUUAAUAGAGAUGGGGUUUCACCGUGUUAGCCAGGAUGGUCUUGAUCUCCUGACCUCAUGAUCCGCCCUCCUCGGCCUCCCAAAGUGCUGGGAUUACAGGUGUGAGUCACCGCGCUCGGCCAGGGCAAAUCUCUUUAACUAUUAUAAUUUUCUCAGUUAUAAUCUUGCCAUGGUGGUUUCAAAAGGUGACUGGAAGAAAGCGGAAGGAAUGCUUGCCUCAUCUUGCAGACAUCAGGUGCAUUCCUGAGAAGCUACAGGUGCACAACCUUAGUCAGGCUCUGGGGAUACAGAAGUAACAAGAAGACCAGACCCUUGUUCCAAUGGAGGAGACAUCCUGGUGGGUGAGACAGAAGGAAAAAAAAAUAAAGCAAAUCAACAAAAUAACAGCUGUUGGGAUAAGUGCUCUGUAGCAAACAAACAAGGCAAGGAUAGAAGAUCUUCCUGGAGGCAGUGAGGGACAUUGUCUAAAAACCAACCUGCUCCAAAUCUUAUCUCAGGCUCUGCUUUCAAAAGAACUCAAACCAGUAUUUCCUGUUUUUACACCGGACCCAAAAUUAACAAGAGGCAGUUUGAGAUUAUUGGAAGAGAUUUGUACUUCAAGUCGGGAAAGCUGGAUUCUAAUCACAGUCCUGCCACUGGAAUCCAAG
RNAcentral lists this long non-coding RNA (958 nucleotides) under Homo sapiens (human). RNAcentral's name for it is "HSALNT0227316". The record is from RNAcentral. Lineage: Eukaryota; Metazoa; Chordata; Mammalia; Primates; Hominidae.